ACGCUCACUUCGGCAGCACAUAUACUAAAAUCGUAAUGAUACAGAGAAGAUUAGCGUGGGCCCUGCGCAAGGAUGACACGCAAAUUCCGUGAAGCAUUCCAUACUUUU
RNAcentral lists this small nuclear RNA (108 nucleotides) under Zalophus californianus (California sea lion). Lineage: Eukaryota; Metazoa; Chordata; Mammalia; Carnivora; Otariidae. The record is from RNAcentral.